RNAcentral lists this non-coding RNA (24 nucleotides) under Arabidopsis thaliana (thale cress). The record is from RNAcentral. Lineage: Eukaryota; Viridiplantae; Streptophyta; Magnoliopsida; Brassicales; Brassicaceae.
UACCUACUCAUUAUCCGUGAUUGU